This 485-nucleotide ribosomal RNA is filed under the name uncultured bacterium. RNAcentral describes it as "partial 16S ribosomal RNA". It matches the Rfam family "Bacterial small subunit ribosomal RNA", at positions 30 to 506 of the family's 1533-position model. The record is from RNAcentral.
AUUGAACGCUGGCGGCAUGCCUUACACAUGCAAGUCGAACGGCAGCACGGGUGCUUGCACCUGGUGGCGAGUGGCGAACGGGUGAGUAAUACAUCGGAACAUGUCCUGUAGUGGGGAAUAGCCCGGCGAAAGCCGGAUUAAUACCGCAUACGAUCUACGGAUGAAAGCGGGGGACCUUCGGGCCUCGCGCUAUAGGGUUGGCCGAUGGCUGAUUAGCUAGUUGGUGGGGUAAAGGCCUACCAAGGCGACGAUCAGUAGCUGGUCUGAGAGGACGACCAGCCACACUGGGACUGAGACACGGCCCAGACUCCUACGGGAGGCAGCAGUGGGGAAUUUUGGACAAUGGGCGAAAGCCUGAUCCAGCAAUGCCGCGUGUGUGAAGAAGGCCUUCGGGUUGUAAAGCACUUUUGUCCGGAAAGAAAUCCUUGGCCCUAAUACGGUCGGGGGAUGACGGUACCGGAAGAAUAAGCACCGGCUAACUACGU